GACGGAGGAUGCAAGCGUUAUCCGGAAUGAUUGGGCGUAAAGCGUCCGCAGGUGGCAGUUCAAGUCUGCUGUCAAAGACCGGGGCUUAACUUCGGAAAGGCAGUGGAAACUGAACAGCUAGAGUAUGGUAGGGGCAGAGGGAAUUCCUGGUGUAGCGGCGAAAUGCGUAGAGAUCAGGAAGAACAUCGGUGGCGAAGGCGGUUCUCUGGGCAUUACCUGACGCUGAGGAGCGAAAGUGUGGGGAGCGAACAGG
RNAcentral lists this ribosomal RNA (253 nucleotides) under uncultured bacterium. RNAcentral's name for it is "partial 16S ribosomal RNA". It matches the Rfam family "Bacterial small subunit ribosomal RNA", at positions 524 to 776 of the family's 1533-position model. The record is from RNAcentral.